Molecule: long non-coding RNA, 1353 nt
Organism: Homo sapiens (human)
Lineage: Eukaryota; Metazoa; Chordata; Mammalia; Primates; Hominidae
Gene: SEC24B-AS1
Product: SEC24B antisense RNA 1
Source: Ensembl
GGGGCCGGAGAGGAGAGAGGAAGAGGAAGGAACGCGCCUGGCGUCACUGAGGGUGUCACCCGGGACCGCGGCUCAGGAACCCCAGACGCACGGGCCUUGUGCUGUCGCUGCCGUGGCACCCCUUCUAGAAGAAAAUCUAGGUAUCUUGCACCAAGAAGUGGAAAAUAAAGAAGAGAAAUGAGAACCAUGUUUGUAUUGGCUGUCUAUAAAAUAAGAGGGAGAAGUUAAGUGAAGUUUUCCAACCCACAGCUGGUAAGUAUCAGAGUAAGGAUUGGAGCCAGGCAGAGUGGUUCCAGAGCCCACACAUUUGUCCACAGUACUAUGCUGCUUUUUUAAAAAGUCUUUCUAUUAUUAUUGUUCGCAUUUGGAGAACAUUAUCCUAUCAAUGAUCUUUUUCAAAGGGGUGUUUUUAUGGAUCAUUCAUUUAUUCACUUAAUUAGAGAAAUGAUUUCGUGUGUGCCUACUUUGUGCUGGCACUGUGAGGGUUUAGCAGUGAAGAAAUACAUGACUUCUACCCUCACACAAUUUCAUUUAGCUUACAAUUAGGUAAGAUAAUAUAAAUUAUAUAGCUUAGGAUUACAAUUGGCUUUAUAUGAUUUUAAAAAUACAAAUUAAGAGUGAUUUAAACAUGAUAGAAAUUGAUUUUUCUUUUCCAUGAAUAGAGUCUGGAGGUAGGUUGCUUAGGGCUGGUAAGAAAACUCCACCAUCAUCAGUGACCCAGGCUGCUUCUAUGUUGCUGCUCUGCCAUCCGCAUGCUGCUUGUGGUUCAGAGCAUCUGGUCUAAGCUCCAAGCAUCCUGUCUGCUUUGCAGCCAACAAAAAGGAGGGAAAGGGAAGAAGAGCACUUCUCUUAAGGAGACUUGCUGUAUGUUCCACUCACCUCACUCAGAUCUCAUUUGUCAGAACUCAGCUACCUGGCUACAACUAACUGCAGAGGAGGCUGGGGAAUGUAGUCUGUUAGUUCGGUGGCUAUACGCUCAACUAAAACCCAGAGUUCUACUUCUGUUCCCAAGGCAAAGGAGAACUGUACACGGGAGGCAAUUAGCAAACCUCUACAUGUAUGGAAACAUUUUCUAAACUGCAGAGACCUUUAGGAAAUUAAAGAUCUAUUAGAGUGGGAUAAUGGCUGCAUUUAUUUGAUAUUACAUCUAUUGUCUAAUGGUUUUCAGUCUUCCCUUGUAGUAAUUAUUUUUCAUUUAGAAUCUAGAGUUGUCAUUUGAUUUCUUCAGCAACUCCAGUAUCCCUGAACUUAUGCUCAUCUUUUUGCUGUGCUUUCGGAAAAAGAAAGCUAGAUGACUUCAUAUGUAUUUUAGCAUAUAUAUUUGGGGGGAGCCCAAACCUGGGAGUGAACCAG